UUGUCUUGCUUAUGCUACUGCCCCUAUUCCACAGAGAGAUAAACUAAAACCUAGAGCACUUUCAUGUGUUUUUCUAGGAUAUCCUUUUUCCAAAAAGGUUUACAAGUUGUAUGAUCUAGUUUCCAAAAGAUUUUUGUGUCCAGGGAUGUUGUGUUUCAAGAGACAUGUUUUCCUUUUUGCAACUAAUUCUGAAAUUACCUCUGGUUCUUCUAUAUUUUCUUUUCCACCUCCUCUUAUACCUUUUUUUGAUCACCAAGAUUCUAGGACACACAUUUCUGUCCCACCUGGUUCCCCUGUUCCCUCUCCUUCUAACUCUUUUCCUUCUGCUUCCAGCUAUGCUCCUUCUUUUGCUUCUGACUCCACACCUUCUGAACCUCUUCCUUCUGCAUCCUUCAAUCCUGAUAUUCCACCUCCUGCUAUUUCUUCCUCUACACAACCUCAUAUCAACAGAAGAUCUGCAAGGCAACACACCACUCCUUCUUAUCUCAAAGACUAUGUGUGUCAACUACCUUAUUUUUCUGGAUCUCUAUCAACAGAAGAUCUGGAAGGCAACAUACCACCCCUUCUUAUCUCAAAGACUAUGUGUGUCAACUACCUUCUUUUUCUGGAUCUUCUUCCUCUACUUCCAGUCUGGAAUCUGAACCUCUUUAUUUAUCUUAAGCUGCCACAGUUCCAGCUUGGCAGGAUGCCAUGAGAAAGGAGUUUGAUGCAUUGGACGCCAACCACACUUGGGAUGUUGUUCCCCUUCCUCCUGGUAAGAAACCCAUAGGUUGCAAGUGGG
RNAcentral lists this long non-coding RNA (781 nucleotides) under Nicotiana benthamiana. RNAcentral describes it as "long non-coding RNA (NBEN_LNC010325)". Lineage: Eukaryota; Viridiplantae; Streptophyta; Magnoliopsida; Solanales; Solanaceae. The record is from RNAcentral.